This 3807-nucleotide ribosomal RNA is filed under the name Triticum aestivum (bread wheat). RNAcentral describes it as "partial small subunit ribosomal RNA". Lineage: Eukaryota; Viridiplantae; Streptophyta; Magnoliopsida; Poales; Poaceae. The record is from RNAcentral.
AUGGCGACGCAGCCGCCUUCCUCGGCUGCGGCCGCCGACCUCUACGAGACGGCCUCGCAGCCCGACCCCUCCGCCUCCGCCGCCGGGGACGCAUACACCUUCCUGGAGUUCAACACGCAGGGCGACGACUUCGAGUACCCCGACUUCCCGGAGCUCUCCCAGCCCGCGCGAUCCGCGCCGCCGCCCCCGGCCCCCGUCACCUCCUCAGCCUCUUCUUCCUGGCCGGCUCCGCCCCUGCCGCCCGACGCUUUGCCGGACGCCGAUCUCGCGCCGCAGGACUCGACCCCGCCGGCCUCUUCAUCCUCGCCGUCGCCGCGGUCGUCGGCGUCGAAGUCAAGGGCGGCGGCGGCGGUGGCGGACGGGCUAGCCGCGGGGGUUGCGGCCCUCAGCUUCGAGGAGCCUCCUGGCGCCGGAACGGGGGAUGACGGGUACGACUAUGGCAAGGGCGACUUCGUGGAGCACGCCUGCCGGUACUGCGGGAUCCACAACCCUGCAUGCGUUGCGCGCUGCAACGUGCCAUCCUGCCGCAAGUGGUUUUGUAACUCGCGAGGGAACACCUCUGGCUCCCACAUUGUUAACCACCUGGUCAGAGCAAAACAUAAGGAAGUCUGCCUUCACAAGGAUAGCCCUCUGGGAGAAACGAUUCUUGAAUGCUACAAUUGUGGCUGCCGGAAUGUAUUUCUGCUUGGUUUUAUCUCCGCAAAGGCAGAGAAUGUUGUUGUUCUUCUGUGUAGAGAGCCCUGCUUGAAUGUUAAUGCGUUGAAGGAUAUGAAUUGGGAUCUCAGUCAGUGGACACCUCUUAUUGAUGACAGGUGUUUCUUAUCAUGGCUUGUCAAGGUUCCCUCAGAACAGGAGCAGUUGAGAGCACGCCAAAUUAGUGCCCAGCAAAUUAACAAAGUGGAAGAGCUCUGGAAAACAAAUCCUGAUGCCUCUCUUGAAGAUCUUGAAAAACCUGGUGUAGAUAAUGAACCCCAGCCGGUGGUUUUGAAGUAUGAAGAUGCUUACCAGUAUCAAAAUGUUUUUGCUCCGCUGAUAAAGCUUGAGGCUGAUUACGACAAGAUGAUGAAAGAGUCACAGAGCAAGGACAGUGUAACUGUGAGGUGGGACAUUGGACUGAACAAGAAGCGUGUUGCCUAUUUUGUCUUUCCAAAGGAAGAUAAUGAAUUGAGACUUGUCCCUGGAGAUGAGCUACGUCUGAGAUAUUCUGGUGGUACUUCACACCCUGCAUGGCAAUCUGUGGGGCACGUGAUUAAACUCACUGCACAAGAGGAGGUAGCACUUGAGCUUCGUGCUAGUCAGGGAGUGCCUGUUGAACUGAACAAUGGGUUUAGUGUGGAUUUUGUUUGGAAGAGUACUAGCUUUGAUAGGAUGCAAGGGGCAAUGAAGACUUUUGCUGUAGAUGAGACAAGUGUCAGUGGGUACAUAUAUCAUCACCUUUUGGGGCAUGAAGUUGAGCAUCAGAUAAUACGCAAUACACUACCGAGACGCUUCGGUGCGCCAGGACUUCCAGAAUUAAAUGCUUCCCAGGUCUUGGCAGUUAAAAGUGUUCUCCAGAAGCCCGUUAGUUUGAUUCAAGGUCCACCUGGCACUGGGAAAACUGUUACAUCAGCUGCAAUUGUGUACCACAUGGCAAAACAAGGCCAAGGGCAGGUCCUUGUAUGUGCACCAAGUAAUGUUGCUGUUGAUCAGUUGGCAGAGAAGAUAAGCUCAACAGGUCUCAAGGUUGUUAGACUUUGUGCGAAAUCUAGAGAAGCAGUUUCUUCACCUGUUGAGCAUCUUACACUUCAUUAUCAGGUUCGGCAUCUCGAUAAUUCCGAGAAGAGCGAAAUGCAUAAGCUACAGCAACUAAAAGACGAGCAAGGAGAAUUGUCGAGCAGUGAUGAGAAAAAGUACAAGGCACUAAAACGAGCCACUGAAAGAGAGAUAUUACAAAGUGCUGAUGUGAUUUGCUGCACCUGUGUUGGUGCUGGAGACCCUCGUUUGUCAAACUUCCGUUUUCGCCAGGUUCUUAUCGAUGAGUCUACACAGGCGACAGAGCCAGAAUGUCUUAUUCCAUUGGUUCUUGGUGUUAAGCAGGUUGUUCUUGUUGGAGAUCAUUGCCAACUGGGUCCAGUCAUCAUGUGCAAAAAGGCAGCGCGAGCAGGAUUAGCACAAUCUCUCUUUGAGCGCCUUGUUAUCCUUGGAGUCAAGCCAUUCAGGCUACAGGUCCAAUAUAGAAUGCACCCUUGUCUUUCAGAAUUUCCAUCCAACUGUUUUUAUGAAGGCACACUGCAAAAUGGGGUAACCGCAAAUGAGAGACAGUCAUCUGGAAUUGACUUUCCUUGGCCUGUUCCAAAUCGACCGAUGUUCUUCUAUGUGCAGAUGGGAGUAGAAGAGAUAAGUGCUAGUGGGACAUCUUACCUCAAUAGGACUGAAGCUGCAAAUGUAGAGAAAAUUGUAACUACAUUCUUAAGAAGUGGUGUUGUGCCAAGCCAGAUCGGAGUUAUCACACCUUAUGAAGGGCAGAGGGCGUAUAUAGUAAAUUAUAUGUCAAGGAAUGGCUCUCUUCGCCAACAGCUUUACAAGGAAAUUGAGGUGGCAAGUGUCGACUCCUUCCAGGGAAGAGAGAAAGAUUACAUUAUUCUGUCUUGUGUUAGAAGCAAUGAACACCAGGGUAUCGGCUUUCUUAAUGAUCCACGCAGGUUAAAUGUUGCAUUAACUCGUGCUAGGUAUGGUAUAGUCGUUCUUGGGAACCCUAAAGUUCUAAGCAAGCAGCCUCUUUGGAAUAGUUUGUUGACACAUUACAAGGAGCAUGAGUGCUUGGUAGAAGGACCUUUGAACAAUUUGAAGCAGAGUAUGGUGCAAUUUCAGAAACCAAAAAAGAUCUACAAUGAUCGAAGACUGUACCUGGGUGGUGGUCAAGGUGUUAUGCAGGGAUCUGCCUUUGGCACUGUAGGCUCAGUAGAUAAGAGAAGUGGUAGGGGAAAAGGACACCCAUUUGUUCCAUUUGGGCCACCAAAUGGGGCUCACAAACCUGGUGUGCACCCAUCAGGCUAUCCUUUACCUCGCAUGCCUUAUCCUCCAUUUCCUGGGUCUCCACAUUCUCAACCCUAUGCAAUUCCAACCCGGGGAUCCCUGCAUGGACCCAUUGGAGCUGUUCCGGCGGCGCCUCAACCUGUUAAUAGGAACUUUGGGGCUCCUCGUGCAAAUACCGGUGGCCCUAUUGGUGGUCACCUUGCUGCCCAUCAGCAGAACUCUCAGCAAGCUAUGGGAAGUGUGGGCCCAACUUUUAACUUUGCUGGUGAUCCGAGCAGUCAGCCUUCUGGUGGAGGCCUGAUGUCCCAAUCUGGACUGAUGACACAGAUGCCUGUCCAAGGUCUUAGUCAAACAUUCCGUGACGGGUUUCCUGUUGGUGGGAUGUCUCAGGACUUCUUUGGAGAUGAUUUCAAGAGCCAAGGAUCUCACGUGGCAUACAACAUUGCAGAUUUUUCUACUCAGGCUUCUCAAGGAGGUUAUGCUGUUGAAUAUACACAAGGGCCCCAAUCUGGAUAUCCUGGGAAUUAUUUGAACCAAAGUGCACAUCCAGGAUACCCCCAUAUGGGUGUAACAAAUGACAUUGUAUCUCAGGAUCAUAUGGCCCAUGGUUCACAUGGAAUGUUUACGCAAGCGGGAUACAACGACCCAUCACAAGAUGAAUCUUCUCAGAUGCAUUAUGGGAUGGGUGCUCCUGGCCAUCUUCAGUCACAGAGCAUGAUGAAUCCUAUGUACUCUCAGUCAUAUGCUCACUAUAACACUCAACCUCAGUCUCUUCAGCCCCCACCGCAGUGA